AUGAGUACGUGUAAAAAGGCCAGGGCGGAAGCUACAUCUGUUGUAAGUUCAGACAGACUGAGCAGUCUGCCUCCAGAGAUAAAGGGCGACAUCCUCUCCCGUUUGAAUGCCGAAGAAGCAGUUAGGACUAGCACCUUAUCAAGUACUUGGAAGGAUGCAUGGACUGAAAUGCCAGUAAUAUCUCUAUCUGAUGGAAAUCUUACAAGAACCAAGUUCGUUACGUUAGUGGAUAUGGUGCUAUUACUCCACAAGGGACCAAUAGAGGAGUUUGAAAUUUCAGGUAGCAAAAAUUACCAUGAUGAGUUCGGUAGGUGGAUGAUCAUGCUGUCAAGGAGAUCACCAAAAUCAGUUACAAUCAAGUUGAACUCAGGGCCAAAGUAUAAGAUUCCCUCCUGCCUCUUUUCUAUCGGUGAUCUGGAGUCUCUGGACCUAAAAAACUGCAUCAUCAGCUUGCCCCGGGCAUUCCAAGGUUUCAAGAGCCUAAGUGACCUCAGCAUGAAAAUCUUCUCCUCCACAGACAAGGAUAUCCAAAAUCUGAUCUCGUUCUGCCCCGUACUGACUUAUUUGAGAUUAAAGUCUUUUGAGGGCAUCAACCGUCUAAACAUUAAGGCUCCUAAACUGGAUUAUCUUAAUGUUCAUGGGGAUUUUAAAGACAUUAAUUUGGAUGCCCCUAAUCUGGAGAUGGCCUCUCUCUUUCUUGAUAACAAAGCAUAUCAAUCUGUUCCAAUUGCGCAUGACAAGGAAUGCUAUUGUCUAUCAGAGGGGUGCAUAGUUACGAAGGUCCCUGCCGUGUUUACUCGCCUGGAGAAUAUUUACCUUACAAUAUGCUUUUGGGACCAGAGGCAAGUCUUGAUUGCAUGCUCAUUGUUUCAGAAUGCCCCUGACUUGAAGAGUGUUGAGAUGUGGAGUUACCCUUCGAGCACAUGGGAUCAGGAUCAGGCGAGCAUUCAAGAGCUUACCCCGCAAAUGCAAAUGGACCAUCUCGUAACGGCCAGUGUGAAAUGGUUCCGGGGUUUGGACUACGAAGUCGAAUUUGUUGCAAAGCUAUUGAGCUGGGCACCUGCUCUAGAAGAACUGAAAAUAGAGUGGGAGGGCGAAACUGACCGCAGCAUGGUUCUUACGAAGCUAUUAGCUCUGCCAAGGGUGUCUCCCAGGGCCAAGAUCAUUGUCACAUGA
Molecule: ribosomal RNA, 1176 nt
Filed under: Triticum aestivum (bread wheat)
Lineage: Eukaryota; Viridiplantae; Streptophyta; Magnoliopsida; Poales; Poaceae
Description: partial small subunit ribosomal RNA
Source: RNAcentral